AUGGACUACUCUAAUGGUUCUUUCUUUCCUUCAUGGCCUGACAAUUCCGCUUCUGAGAAUUAUAGCUUUGUUGAUGGUUCAGUGGAAUCAUAUGCAGAAGAAGGAAGUAUGCCACCUGCAGGCUAUUUCAGAGCUAGAUCAAAUCAGAAUUUAACAUUUGAUGAGCAUGAACAGAACCCUGCUAUGCUUGCAAAUGGGUGCUUGCCGUACAACACCCAGACUGAUCUAUUAUCUGGUGAGAUUCUGUCAGAGAACAAACCUUCCAACAGCCUUAUGGAGCUUCCACAACUUCAGAACAAUGGCAGUCUGCAAAGUAAUUUAAUCCCAUCAGGGACUCUUCACUGCACUUCAACACCUGGAACAUUUGACCUGCAGUUGGAUACCCCUGGCCUUCUAGAACUUCCUCAUGCCUUGUCCAGUUCAAUUGAAAGCAAUGGUAGUGAAGUUUCAGCUUUUCUUGCUGAUGUACAUGCUGUUUCUUCAGCCUCAACUCUGUGUUCGACAUUCCAAAAUGUUCCUUCCUACAUGGAACCAGUAAGCCUAGAAGCUUUCAGUUUUCAAGGGAUACAAAAUGCUGCUAUGUUCAACAAUACAAGUCAUUCAAAUGGGAACCUGUCAGUAUUUGAUGAGGCAACCAUGGCAUCACUACAUGAUAGCAAAGAAUUUCUCAGUGGUGGCAUCUCAUCUUUUGGUACGGCCGAGCAGUCUCAACUAGCUGGUAGUGGUUUGAAGGCUGAACAACAGGAACAAAAUGUGAUGUGCAAUAUUCCGCUCCCUUUCGCUUCUGGUAGUCAGAUGGCAGUGAGUGAAGCACAAGGGACACUGAUUCCUUCAAAGAUAAGCUCAACGAUCCAUAACAAUAAAAGUGAGUACCCUGUCCCUAUCAGCCAUUCUGCUGAUGCGCAGAACAAGGCAAAUUCAGCUAAUGGAAAUAGUGCCAGUGCUAAGCCACGAGCAAGGGCUCGUCGUGGACAGGCAACUGACCCUCAUAGUAUUGCUGAACGGCUUCGCAGAGAGAAGAUCUCAGAGAGGAUGAAAAAUCUCCAAGACCUUGUACCAAAUUCAAAUAAGGCAGAUAAAUCAUCAAUGCUUGAUGAAAUAAUUGAUUAUGUGAAAUUUCUUCAGCUUCAGGUGAAGGUCUUAAGCAUGAGUAGGCUAGGAGCUCCCGGGGCAGUUCUUCCCCUCCUUGCAGAAUCUCAAACUGAGGGCCAUAGCAAUUCAUCUCUAUCACCUCCAACCGCUUCACAAGGGCUUCUGGAUGCAGCAGGCCCAGAAGACAGCUUGGUCUUUGAGCAAGAAGUUAUAAAGCUGAUGGAAACAAGCAUCACAAAUGCAAUGCAGUACCUUCAGAACAAGGGCCUCUGCCUGAUGCCUAUCGCUCUUGCUUCAGCCAUAUCCAACCAGAAAGGCACUUCUGCAGCUGCAGUCCCUCCUGAAAGGUGA
RNAcentral lists this ribosomal RNA (1443 nucleotides) under Triticum aestivum (bread wheat). RNAcentral describes it as "partial small subunit ribosomal RNA". Lineage: Eukaryota; Viridiplantae; Streptophyta; Magnoliopsida; Poales; Poaceae. The record is from RNAcentral.